UGGGCGCAAGCCUGAUCCAGCAAUGCCGCGUGCAGGAAGAAGGCCUUCGGGUUGUAAACUGCUUUUGUACGGAACGAAAAGAUCUGGGUUAAUACCCUGGGCUCAUGACGGUACCGUAAGAAUAAGCACCGGCUAACUACGUGCCAGCAGCCGCGGUAAUACGUAGGGUGCAAGCGUUAAUCGGAAUUACUGGGCGUAAAGCGUGCGCAGGCGGUUGUGUAAGACAGGCGUGAAAUCCCCGGGCUCAACCUGGGAAUGGCGCUUGUGACUGCACAGCUGGAGUGCGGCAGAGGGGGAUGGAAUUCCGCGUGUAGCAGUGAAAUGCGUAGAUAUGCGGAGGAACACCGAUGGCGAAGGCAAUCCCCUGGGCCUGCACUGACGCUCAUGCACGAAAGCGUGGGGAGCAAACAGGAUUAGAUACCCUGGUAGUCCACGCCCUAAACGAUGUCAACUGGUUGUUGGGUCUUAGCUGACUCAGUAACGAAGCUAACGCGUGAAGUUGACCGCCUGGGGAGUA
Molecule: ribosomal RNA, 517 nt
Filed under: uncultured bacterium
Lineage: Bacteria
Description: bacterial SSU rRNA
Rfam family: Bacterial small subunit ribosomal RNA
Source: RNAcentral